GCUUGUCUCAAAGAUUAAGCCAUGCAUGUCUAAGUAUAAAUCUUUAUACGGUGAAACUGCGAAUGGCUCAUUAAAUCAGUUAUAAUUUAUUUGAUAGUACCUUACUACUUGGAUAACCGUGGUAAUUCUAGAGCUAAUACAUGCAUUAAGGCCCGACUUUUUGGAGGGCUGUAUUUAUUAGGUAAAAACCAAUGUCAGCAAUGACUUACUGGUGAUUCAUAAUAACUUCUCGGAUCGUAUGACCUUGUGUCGACGACGUAUCAUUCAAAUUUCUGCCCUAUCAACUUUUGAUGGUAGGAUAGGGGCCUACCAUGGUGAUAACGGGUAACGGAGAAUUAGGGUUCGAUUCCGGAGAGGGAGCCUGAGAAAUGGCUACCACAUCCAAGGAAGGCAGCAGG
This 398-nucleotide ribosomal RNA is filed under the name uncultured Rozellomycota. RNAcentral's name for it is "uncultured Cryptomycota partial small subunit ribosomal RNA". It matches the Rfam family "Eukaryotic small subunit ribosomal RNA", at positions 30 to 432 of the family's 1831-position model. Lineage: Eukaryota; Fungi; Rozellomycota. The record is from RNAcentral.